This 219-nucleotide unclassified non-coding RNA is filed under the name Hevea brasiliensis (rubber tree). Lineage: Eukaryota; Viridiplantae; Streptophyta; Magnoliopsida; Malpighiales; Euphorbiaceae. The record is from RNAcentral.
CGGCGAGAGUGAAAGCGUGGAUGUCAGAUCCGGCGAGAGAAAUGGAAAGAUCUUCAGAGAGAGUGGAAUUAGGGUUACUCAAAUCCAGUUUCGAAAUCCUUUGGAAGGAACUCGGCUUAUUCGCCGCCACUACUUUCAUCACCUCCGACGACUGCGAAUCAACCUCGCAGCAGCUGGAGAAAAUGGAUCUCCACUUCAUUUUCUUCACCGCCAUUCCAG